AGCAGCCGCGGUAAUUCCAGCUCCAAUAGCGUAUAUUAAAGUUGUUGCAGUUAAAAAGCUCGUAGUUGAAUUUCGGGACCAAUUUGUUGGUCGUGCCUCGGUACGUACUGGUAUUAUUGGUUUCUCCCUUCUGAAGAACCUCGAUGCCAUUAAUUUGGUGUCGUGGGGAAUCAGGACUGUUACUUUGAAAAAAUUAGAGUGUUUAAAGCAAGCAUACGCUUGAAUACAUUAGCAUGGAAUAAUGAAAUAGGACGUUUGAUUCUAUUUUGUUGGUUUCUAGGAUCGACGUAAUGAUUAAUAGGGAUAGUUGGGGGCAUUAGUAUUCAAUUGUCAGAGGUGAAAUUCUUGGAUUUAUUGAAGACUAACUACUGCGAAAGCAUUUGCCAAGGAUGUUUUCAUUAAUCAAGAACGAAAGUUAGGGGAUCGAAGACGAUCAGAUACCGUCGUAGUCUUAACCAUAAACUAUGCCGACUAGGGAUCGGAUGAUGUUAAUUUUUUAAUGACUCAUUCGGCGCCUUAC
This 520-nucleotide small RNA is filed under the name uncultured Glomus. RNAcentral's name for it is "SSU rRNA". It matches the Rfam family "Eukaryotic small subunit ribosomal RNA", at positions 569 to 1091 of the family's 1831-position model. Lineage: Eukaryota; Fungi; Glomeromycota; Glomeromycetes; Glomerales; Glomeraceae. The record is from RNAcentral.